UCGGACAUGGUGUACGGUACACGGCUUCUUUGCAUAAUCUCUCCAGCGAAGUAUUCGGAGGCAGCUCGGGGUUCGACUCCCCGUGUCUGAA
Molecule: non-coding RNA, 91 nt
Organism: Mycena olivaceomarginata
Lineage: Eukaryota; Fungi; Basidiomycota; Agaricomycetes; Agaricales; Mycenaceae
Source: the annotation of a GenBank genome assembly